RNAcentral lists this ribosomal RNA (509 nucleotides) under uncultured bacterium. RNAcentral's name for it is "bacterial SSU rRNA". It matches the Rfam family "Bacterial small subunit ribosomal RNA", at positions 18 to 518 of the family's 1533-position model. The record is from RNAcentral.
CCUGGCUUAGGAUGAACGCUAGCUACAGGCUUAACACAUGCAAGUCGAGGGGCAGCAGGAUUGUGCUUGCACAGAUGCUGGCGACCGGCGCACGGGUGAGUAACGCGUAUCCAACCUCCCCAUAGUAGAGGAUAGCCCGGCGAAAGUCGGAUUAAUACUCUAUGUUGUGUCAUGAGGACAUCUGAAUAACACUAAAGAUUUAUCGCUAUGGGAUGGGGAUGCGUCUGAUUAGGUAGUCGGCGGGGUAACGGCCCACCGAGCCGACGAUCAGUAGGGGUUCUGAGAGGAAGGUCCCCCACAUUGGUACUGAGACACGGACCAAACUCCUACGGGAGGCAGCAGUGAGGAAUAUUGGUCAAUGGGCGCGAGCCUGAACCAGCCAAGUAGCGUGCAGGAAUGACUGCCCUAUGGGUUGUAAACUGCUUUUAUCAGGGAAUAAAGUGAGGCACGUGUGCCUUUUUGUAUGUACCUGGUGAAUAAGGACCGGCUAAUUCCGUGCCAGCAGCCGC